Molecule: non-coding RNA, 111 nt
Organism: Lentinus tigrinus ALCF2SS1-7
Lineage: Eukaryota; Fungi; Basidiomycota; Agaricomycetes; Polyporales; Polyporaceae
Source: the annotation of a GenBank genome assembly
GUCAGCUUGCCGGAGUGGUUAACGGGAUCGCCUGCUAUGCUGUCUCAGCGCUUCAGCAUCCAGACUAGCGGUUGUGCUUUGCACGCGAGUGUUCGAAUCGCUCAGCUGACG